CAGCCGCCGCGGGAACACGUAGGUGGCAAGCGUUGUCCGGAAUUAUUGGGCGUAAAGCGCGCGCAGGCGGCCUAUCCAGUCUGUCUUAAAAGUUCGGGGCUCAACCCCGUGAUGGGAUGGAAACUAGUAGGCUAGAGUAUCGGAGAGGAAAGCGGAAUUCCUAGUGUAGUGGUGAAAUGCGUAGAUAUUAGGAAGAACACCAGUGGCGAAGGCGGCUUUCUGGACGAAAACUGACGCUGAGGCACGAAAGCCAGGGGAGCGAACGGGAUUAGAGACCCGCGUAGUCCCUGUCUCUUAUACC
RNAcentral lists this ribosomal RNA (301 nucleotides) under uncultured bacterium. RNAcentral's name for it is "partial 16S ribosomal RNA". It matches the Rfam family "Bacterial small subunit ribosomal RNA", at positions 509 to 808 of the family's 1533-position model. The record is from RNAcentral.